RNAcentral lists this ribosomal RNA (492 nucleotides) under uncultured bacterium. Its description in RNAcentral is "partial 16S ribosomal RNA". It matches the Rfam family "Bacterial small subunit ribosomal RNA", at positions 29 to 507 of the family's 1533-position model. The record is from RNAcentral.
AGUGAACGCUGGCGGUAGGCCUAACACAUGCAAGUCGAACGGCAGCACAGUAAGAGCUUGCUCUUACGGGUGGCGAGUGACGGACGGGUGAGGAAUACAUCGGAAUCUACUUUUUCGUGGGGGGUAACGUAGGGAAACUUACGCUAAUACCGCAUACGACCUACGGGUUAAAUCCGUGGAUCUUCAGACCUUGCGCGAUUGAAUGAGCCGAUGUCGGAUUAGCUAGUUGGCGGGGUAAAGGCCCACCAAGGCGACGAUCCGUAGCUGGUCUGAGAGGAUGAUCAGCCACACUGGAACUGAGACACGGUCCAGACUCCUACGGGAGGCAGCAGUGGGGAAUAUUGGACAAUGGGCGCAAGCCUGAUCCAGCCAUACCGCGUGGGUGAAGAAGGCCUUCGGGUUGUAAAGCCCUUUUGUUGGGAAAGAAAAGCAGCAGGUUAAUACCCCGCUGUUCUGACGGUACCCAAAGAAUAAGCACCGGCUAACUUCGUG